Molecule: ribosomal RNA, 491 nt
Filed under: uncultured bacterium
Lineage: Bacteria
Description: partial 16S ribosomal RNA
Rfam family: Bacterial small subunit ribosomal RNA
Source: RNAcentral
GAUGAACGCUGGCUACAGGCUUAACACAUGCAAGUCGAGGGGAAACGACGGGGAAGCUUGCUUCCCCGGGCGUCGACCGGCGCACGGGUGAGUAACGCGUAUCCAACCUGCCUCUGACUGAGGGAUAACCCGUCGAAAGUCGGCCUAAUACCUCAUGGCAUCGUCUGCGGGCAUCCAACGACGAUUAAAGAUUUCAUCGGUCAGAGAUGGGGAUGCGUCUGAUUAGCUUGUUGGCGGGGUAACGGCCCACCAAGGCGACGAUCAGUAGGGGUUCUGAGAGGAAGGUCCCCCACAUUGGAACUGAGACACGGUCCAAACUCCUACGGGAGGCAGCAGUGAGGAAUAUUAGUCAAUGGGCGAGAGCCUGAACCAGCCAAGUAGCGUGCAGGAUGACGGCCCUAUGGGUUGUAAACUGCUUUUAGGCGGGGAUAAAGUGAGGGACGUGUCCUUCAUUGCAGGUACCGCAUGAAUAAGGACCGGCUAAUUCCGUG